Molecule: ribosomal RNA, 320 nt
Filed under: uncultured bacterium
Lineage: Bacteria
Description: bacterial SSU rRNA
Rfam family: Bacterial small subunit ribosomal RNA
Source: RNAcentral
GUGGCGGACGGGUGAGUAACGCGUGGGUAACCUGCCUCAUACCGGGGGAUAACACUUAGAAAUAGGUGCUAAUACCGCAUAAGCGCUCGGUGAUGCAUGGUACAGUGUGAAAAACUCCGGUGGUAUGGGAUGGACCCGCGUCUGAUUAGCUGGUUGGCGGGGUAACGGCCCACCAAGGCGACGAUCAGUAGCCGACCUGAGAGGGUGGACGGCCACAUUGGGACUGAGACACGGCCCAAACUCCUACGGGAGGCAGCAGUGGGGAAUAUUGCACAAUGGGGGAAACCCUGAUGCAGCGACGCCGCGUGAGUGAAGAAGUA